GGCUCAGAGCGAACGCUGGCGGCGUGUUCUAGGCAUGCAAGUCGAACGGCAGCAUGAGAGAGCUUGCUCUCUUGAUGGCGAGUGGCGGACGGGUGAGUAACACGUAGGAAUCUACCCAAAGGACUGGGAUAGCCACGGGAAACCGUGGAUAAUACCGGAUGAUAUCGAAAGAUCAAAGGCGCGUUUGCGUCACCUAUGGAUGAGCCUGCGUCCCAUCAGGUUGUUGGUAGGGUAAAGGCCUACCAAGCCGAAGACGGGUAGCUGGUCUAAGAGGACGGUCAGUCACAAGGGAACUGAGACACGGUCCCUACUCCUACGGGAGGCAGCAGCCAAGAAUCUUCCGCAAUGGACGAAAGUCUGACGGAGCGACGCCGCGUGAGGGAUGAAGGCCUUCGGGUUGUAAACCUCUUUUCUUUAGGAAGAAUAAGGUUAUCAGGAAAUGGGUAACCGAUGACGGUACUAAAGGAAUAAGCCCCGGCUAAUUACGUGCCAGCAGCCGCGGUAAUACGUAAGGGGCGAGCGUUGCUCGGAAUUACUGGGCGUAAAGGGCGUGUAGGUGGUCUUGCAAGUCGAUUGGUAAAAGACCGUGGCUUAACUACGGGACUGCUAUCGAAACUGCGAGACUAGAGUCUGGUGGAAGGUGACGGAAUUCUCGGUGUAGCGGUGAAAUGCGUAGAUAUCGAGAAGAACACCAAAGGCGAAGGCAGUCAUCUAUGCCGAGACUGACACUGAGGCGCGAAAGCGUGGGUAGCAAACAGGAUUAGAUACCCUGGUAGUCCACGCCGUAAACGAUGUGCACUAGGAGUUGGCGGGAUACCGUUAGUUCCGCAGCAAACGCGUUAAGUGUACCGCCUGGGGAUUACGACCGCAAGGUUGAAACUCAAAGAAAUUGACGGGGGCCCGCACAAGCGGUGGAGCACGUGGUUUAAUUCGAUGAUAAGCGAAGAACCUUACCUGGACUUGACAUAUAACUGCACGUCCUGUGAAAGCAGGAUUCCUUCGAGGGUGUUAUACAGGUGCUGCAUGGCUGUCGUCAGUUCGUGCCGUGAGGUGUUAGGUUAAGUCCUGCAACGAACGCAACCCCUAUGUUUAGUUGCCAUCAGGUAAUGCUGGGCACUCUAGACAGACUGCCCGUGCAAUCGGGAGGAAGGUGGGGACGACGUCAAGUCAGUAUGGCCCUUACGUCCAGGGCUGCACACGUGCUACAAUGACCGGUACAGAGGGCAGCGAUACCGCGAGGUGGAGCUAAUCCCUUAAAACCGGUCCCAGUUCGGAUUGGAGUCUGCAACUCGACUCCAUGAAGUUGGAUUCGCUAGUAACGGCGUAUCAGCUACGGCGCCGUGAAUACGUUCCCGGGUCUUGUACACACCGCCCGUCACAUCAUGGAAGCCGUCUGCACCCAAAGUCGCUGACUCAAC
Molecule: ribosomal RNA, 1418 nt
Filed under: uncultured organism
Description: bacterial SSU rRNA
Rfam family: Bacterial small subunit ribosomal RNA
Source: RNAcentral